This 406-nucleotide ribosomal RNA is filed under the name uncultured bacterium. RNAcentral's name for it is "partial 16S ribosomal RNA". It matches the Rfam family "Bacterial small subunit ribosomal RNA", at positions 30 to 526 of the family's 1533-position model. The record is from RNAcentral.
AUCGAACGCUAGCGGCAGGCCUAACACAUGCAAGUCGCACGAGUGGCGGACGGGUGAGUAAUGUCUGGGAAACUGCCUGAUGGAGGGGGAUAACUACUGGAAACGGUAGCUAAUACCGCAUACCAUCAGAUGUGCCCAGAGGGGAUUAGCUAGUUGGUGGGGUAACGGCUCACCAAGGCGACGAUCCCUAGCUGGUCUGAGAGGAUGACCAGUCACACUGGAACUGAGACAAGGGCCAGACUCCUGCGUGAGGUAGCAGAGGGGAAUAUGGCACAAUGGGCGCAAGCCUGAUGCAGCCAUGCCGCGUGUAUGAAGAAGGCCUUAGGGUUGUAAAGUACUUUCAGCGGGGAGGCGUUACCCGCAGAAGAAGCACCGGCUAACUCCGUGCCAGCAGCCGCGGUAAUAC